This 403-nucleotide ribosomal RNA is filed under the name uncultured bacterium. Its description in RNAcentral is "bacterial SSU rRNA". It matches the Rfam family "Bacterial small subunit ribosomal RNA", at positions 355 to 774 of the family's 1533-position model. The record is from RNAcentral.
UCGGGAAUAUUGCGCAAUGGAGGAAACUCUGACGCAGUGACGCCGCGUGCAGGAAGAAGGUUUUCGGAUUGUAAACUGCUUUAGACAGGGAAGAUACAAGACAGUACCUGUAGAAUAAGCUCCGGCUAACUACGUGCCAGCAGCCGCGGUAAUACGUAGGGAGCAAGCGUUAUCCGGAUUUAUUGGGUGUAAAGGGUGCGUAGACGGGAAAACAAGUUAGUUGUGAAAUCCCUCGGCUUAACUGAGGAACUGCAACUAAAACUAUUUUUCUUGAGUGCUGGAGAGGAAAGUGGAAUUCCUAGUGUAGCGGUGAAAUGCGUAGAUAUUAGGAGGAACACCAGUGGCGAAGGCGACUUUCUGGACAGUAACUGACGUUGAGGCACGAAAGUGUGGGGAGCAAACA